Molecule: ribosomal RNA, 253 nt
Filed under: uncultured bacterium
Lineage: Bacteria
Description: partial 16S ribosomal RNA
Rfam family: Bacterial small subunit ribosomal RNA
Source: RNAcentral
UACGGGGGGAGCAAGCGUUGUUCGGAUUUACUGGGCGUAAAGGGCGCGUAGGCGGCGCAACAAGUCACUUGUGAAAUCUCCGGGCUUAACCCGGAGCGGCCAAGUGAUACUGUCGUGCUAGAGUGCGGAAGGGGCUACUGGAAUUCUCGGUGUAGCGGUGAAAUGCGUAGAGAUCGGGAGGAACACCAGAGGCGAAGGCGGCGACCUGGAUAGGAACUGACACUAAACUACGAAAGCGUGGGGAGCAAACAGG